GUAAGGGCGUGUGGGGGAUGUCUUGGCACUAAUAGGCAUAAGGGCGUGGAAGACUGCGAUAAGCCCGGGGAAGUUGUCAAACGAAUAUCGAUCCCGGGAUUCCUGUGCUAACCCAGGGAACUGAAACAUCUCAGUACCUGGAGGAAAAGAAAGCAAAAGCGACUCCGUAAGUAGCGGCGAGCGAAAGCGGAAUAGCCCAAACCUAGAGAGCAUGCUCUUUAGGGGUUGUAGGACCGCAUUUAAGACUAGGAUCUCUAGCUGAACGGUUUUGGGAAAGCCGGCCAUAGCGGGUGAUAGCCCCGUAAGCGACAGAGUGAGAAGCUGAGCGGUAUCCUGAGUAGGUCCAUGCACGUGAAACGUGGACUGAAUCGACGGGGACCAUCCCGUAAGGCUAAGUACUCAUUAGUGACCGAUAGUGAACCAGUAGCGCGAGCGAAAGAUGGGAAGAACCCCGAUAAGGGGAGGAUAGUGAACCUGAAACCACAUGCCUACAAGCGGUGAGAGGCCUACGACGCAAGUCAGGCUGAUCGCGUGCCUUUUGCAUAAUGAUCCGACGACUUACCGUAACUGGCAAGGCUAAGUGUCUUUGGCACGGAGCCGUAGGGAAACCGAGUCUGAAUAGGGCGCCAAGUCAGCUGCGGUAGACGCGAAACCACGUGAACUACGCAUGGCCAGGAUGAAGGAGAGGUAACACUCUCUGGAAGACCGAACUCACUAGUGUUGAAAAACUAGGGGAUGAGCUGUGUGGAGGAUUGAAAGUAUCAUCAAACGUGGAGAUAGCUCGUUCUCUCCGAAAUAACUUUAGGGUUAGCGUUCGAAUAGUUGGCAAUGGGGGUAGAGCGACUGAAAUCGAACGGGGGCCUACCCGGCUACCCGUCGAUACCAAACUCCGAAUACCAUUGUACCAAGUUCGUGCAGCUAGACUGCGAGGGAUAAGCUUCGUAGUCGAGAGGGGAACAACCCAGACCGCCUGCUAAGGUCCCAGAAUCGUACUGAGUGCGAAAGGAAGUUGGAAUCCUAAGACAGCCAGGAUGUUGGCUUAGAAGCAGCCACCAUUUAAAAAGUGCGUAAUAGCUUACUGGUCGAGGGUUCCUGCGCCGAUAAUGAACGGGACUAAGUACGGUACCGAAGCAGCGGGUAGUAGCAAUACUACGGUAGGAGAGCGUAGCCAACGGGACGAAGCGAUACGGAUAACGGGUCGUGGACUGUUGGUUAGUGAUUAUGUCGGAAUGAGUAACGAUAAAACGGGUGAGAAUCCCGUUCGCCGAAAGCCUAAGGUUUCCUGGGGAAGGUAAAUCCGCCCAGGGUUAGUCGGGUCCUAAGACAAGGCCGAAAGGCGUAGUCGAUGGAUAGCAGGUUAAUAUUCCUGCACCGCUGGCAGCGGUCGAAGGCAUCAGGACGUUAACAGGAAUGGGUACCCCCCGUUAGUUGUGGGGGAGCCGCAAGGCCGAGGACAUUUAUGAUUCCGAAGUCCUAGGAACGUUAACCAAGAAAAGCCGAUGCUGGACAAAGUCAGUGCCCGUACCACAAUCCGACACAGGUAGGCGAGAUGAAUAUUCUAAGGCGCUCGAGAGAAUGCUCGUGAAGGAACUCUGCAAAUUAACUCCGUAACUUCGGGAAAAGGAGUGCCCCUGUUAGUGUUAAAGCUUCUGGGGGUCGCAGUGAAAAGGGUCUAGCGACUGUUUAUUAAAAACACAGGUCUGUGCGAACACGUAAGUGGAAGUAUACAGACUGACGCCUGCCCGGUGCCGGUAAGUUAAGGAAGGGGGUUAGCCGUAAGGUGAAGCCCGCAACCGAAGCUCCGGUAAACGGCGGCCGUAACUAUAACGGUCCUAAGGUAGCGAAAUUCCUUGUCGGGUAAGUUCCGACCUGCAUGAAUGGCGUAACGACUGGACCACUGUCUCCACGAGCUACUCGGUGAAAUUGUAGUCGUCGUGAAGAUGCGACGUACCCGCAGUUAGACGGAAAGACCCCGUGAACCUUAACUGUAGGAUAGUAUUGGGUUUAGACCCAACAUGCGUAGCGUAGCUGGGAGACUAUAAAGAGCGGUUUUUGGAUCGCUUGGAGUCAUCGAUGAAACACCAGCCUUGUUGUGUUUGAAUUCUAACUCGUGUUACAACCACGUGGACAGUGCUAUCUGGGCAGUUUGAUUGGGGCGAUCUCCUCCUAAAAGGUAACGGAGGAGCGCAAAGGUACCCUCAGCCCGGUUGGCAAUCGGGCAUCGAGCGUAAACGUAAAAGGGUGCUUGACUGCGAGACCGAUAGGUCGAGCAGGGACGAAAGUCGGCGUUAGUGAUCCGGUGGUUCCGAAUGGAAGGGCCAUCGCUCAACAGAUAAAAGGUACUCCGGGGAUAACAGGCUUAUCUCCUCUGAGCGUUCAUAGCGGCGAGGAGGUUUGGCACCUCGAUGUCGGCUCAUCGCAUCCUGGGGCUGGAGAAGGUCCCAAGGGUUUGGCUGUUCGCCAAUGAAAGCGGUACGUGAGCUGGGUUUAGACCGUCGUGAGACAGGUCGGUCCCUAUCUGCUGCGGGCGCAGGAUACUUGAGAGGCUUCCUCCCUAGUACGAGAGGAUUGGGAGGGACGCACCGCUGGUGUUCCAGUUGUGACGCUAGUCGCACCGCUGGGUAGCUACGUGCGGAAUGGAUAAACGCUGAAGGCAUAUAAGCGUGAAACUUCCCUCAAGAUAAGGUAUCCUUGCUUAGCUGAAGACCCCCGAUAGAACAUCGGGAAUAUAGGUCGGGUGUGUAAGAACAGCAAUGUUCUCAGCUAACCGAUACUAACGGUCGAACGCUUGACCA
RNAcentral lists this ribosomal RNA (2795 nucleotides) under Nocardioides sp. JGI 0001009-J09. Its description in RNAcentral is "bacterial LSU rRNA". It matches the Rfam family "Bacterial large subunit ribosomal RNA". The record is from RNAcentral. Lineage: Bacteria; Bacillati; Actinomycetota; Actinomycetes; Propionibacteriales; Nocardioidaceae.